UAUCACUCAUGCACUUAUGUCCACCCAACAUCAAUCUACUCUCAUUUCUAAACCCCCAGAGAGAGUAGACAGUAGGCAUAAAUCUGCCAAAAAAUCUCCAUUUGGACGAGGAUGCUUCCAAAAAUUUACAGACGGACAGGGUACAUCCUGUCACAAAGGAUGUGGUUGCACCACAACUAAGAGCCCCUCACCGGGCAAAAU
This is a non-coding RNA of Pelobates cultripes (western spadefoot toad), 201 nucleotides long. Lineage: Eukaryota; Metazoa; Chordata; Amphibia; Anura; Pelobatidae. The record is from the annotation of a GenBank genome assembly.